Molecule: ribosomal RNA, 941 nt
Filed under: Pestalotiopsis microspora
Lineage: Eukaryota; Fungi; Ascomycota; Sordariomycetes; Amphisphaeriales; Sporocadaceae
Description: partial large subunit ribosomal RNA
Rfam family: Eukaryotic large subunit ribosomal RNA
Source: RNAcentral
ACUCCCCGUGGAGAAACUAGCAUAUCAAUAAGCGGAGGAAAGGAAACCAACAGGGAUUGCCUUAGUAACGGCGAGUGAAGCGGCAACAGCUCAAAUUUGAAAUCUGGCCCUUGGGUCCGAAUUGUAAUUUGUAGAGGAUGAUUUUGGUGCGGUAUCUUCCGAGUUCCUUGGAACAGGACGCCUUAGAGGGUGAGAGCCCCGUACGGUUGAAUGCCUAGCCUCUGUAAAUCUCCUUCGACGAGUCGAGUAGUUUGGGAAUGCUGCUCUAAAUGGGAGGUAAAUUUCUUCUAAAGCUAAAUAUUGGCCAGAGACCGAUAGCGCACAAGUAGAGUGAUCGAAAGAUGAAAAGCACUUUGAAAAGAGGGUUAAAUAGCACGUGAAAUUGUUGAAAGGGAAGGAUUUGUGACCAGACUUUUUCUGGGCGGAUCAUCCGGGGUUCUCUCCGGUGCACUUCGCCCAGUAAAGGCCAGCAUCGGUUUUCGGCGUGGGAUAAAAGCAGUAGGAAUGUGGCUCUCUACGGGGAGUGUUAUAGCCUAUUGUAUAAUACCGCGCUGGGGACCGAGGUUCGCGCUUCUGCAAGGAUGCUGGCGUAAUGGUUAUCAAUCACCCGUCUUGAAACACGGACCAAGGAGUCGAACAUUUGUGCGAGUGUUUGGGUGUUAAACCCUCACGCGUAAUGAAAGUGAACGGAGGUGAGAGCCCUUACGGGUGCAUCAUCGACCGAUCCUGAAGUUUUCGGAUGGAUUUGAGUAAGAGCAUAACUGUUCGGACCCGAAAGAUGGUGAACUAUGCGUGGAUAGGGUGAAGCCAGAGGAAACUCUGGUGGAGGCUCGCAGCGGUUCUGACGUGCAAAUCGAUCGUCAAAUCUGCGCAUGGGGGCGAAAGACUAAUCGAACCAUCUAGUAGCUGGUUACCGCCGAAGUCUCCCUCUCCGAGUAUAA